This is a non-coding RNA of Pelobates cultripes (western spadefoot toad), 289 nucleotides long. NCBI's taxonomy places the organism in Eukaryota, Metazoa, Chordata, Amphibia, Anura, Pelobatidae. The record is from the annotation of a GenBank genome assembly.
GCCAGGAGUUAAUUAGGGGGCACAGUUUUCCCAGGUCUACUUCGGCCUUGGGAUAAACUGCAACUCACUAUGGGAUCUUCCAAGAGAGAAGUAUUUAAUCGCCAAGAAAAAUUGGGUUUAACUGAUAAUCCUUUUAUAUGUACAAUGAUAUCUGCAUGAUCUGACCACGUAAUAUUGUUAAUUUGUGAGCUAUAUAAAUAGGGAGAAAUUGGUCAAAAACAUAUCUAUUCUAGAAUACGUAUCAUGUGGAUGCGAAUAAAAGGUAUAAUCAAGUGUGUCAGGAUGUUGA